CCUACGGGAGGCAGCAGUAGGGAAUUUUCGUCAAUGGGCGCAAGCCUGAACGAGCAAUGCCGCGUGAACGAGGAAGGUCUUCGGAUCGUAAAGUUCUGUUGAAGGGGAAAAAGAGCGGAGAGAGGAAAUGGUCUCCGAUUGAUAUUACCCUUCGAGGAAGUCACGGCUAACUACGUGCCAGCAGCCGCGGUAAUACGUAGGUGGCGAGCGUUAUCCGGAAUGAUUGGGCGUAAAGGGUGCGUAGGCGGCCUGCUAAGUCUGGAGUGAAAGGUACCGGCUCAACCGGUACAGGCUCUGGAAACUGGCGGGCUAGAGAGCAGGAGAGGGCGGUGGAACUCCAUGUGUAGCGGUAAAAUGCGUAGAUAUAUGGAAGAACACCAGUGGCGAAGGCGGCCGCCUGGCCUGUUACUGACACUAAGGCACGAAAGCGUAGGGAGCAAACGGGAUUAGAUACCCCUGUAGUC
This 464-nucleotide ribosomal RNA is filed under the name uncultured bacterium. RNAcentral describes it as "partial 16S ribosomal RNA". It matches the Rfam family "Bacterial small subunit ribosomal RNA", at positions 338 to 795 of the family's 1533-position model. The record is from RNAcentral.